CCUUGCAAGAAUUGGCGCCAACACACCAGAUCUCAUCAGAACUCUGCAGUUAAGCGCGCUUAGGCUGAAGUAGUUCUGGGAUGGGUGACCUCCUAGGAAGUCCUAGUUUUGCACCCU
This is a non-coding RNA of Picea glauca (white spruce), 117 nucleotides long. The record is from Rfam. NCBI's taxonomy places the organism in Eukaryota, Viridiplantae, Streptophyta, Pinopsida, Pinales, Pinaceae.